Molecule: ribosomal RNA, 253 nt
Filed under: uncultured bacterium
Lineage: Bacteria
Description: partial 16S ribosomal RNA
Rfam family: Bacterial small subunit ribosomal RNA
Source: RNAcentral
UACGUAGGGUGCAAGCGUUGUCCGGAAUUAUUGGGCGUAAAGAGCUCGUAGGUGGUUUGUCGCGUUGUUCGUGAAAUCUCACGGCUUAACUGUGAGCGUGCGGGCGAUACGGGCAGACUGGAGUACUGCAGGGGAGACUGGAAUUCCUGGUGUAGCGGUGGAAUGCGCAGAUAUCAGGAGGAACACCGGUGGCGAAGGCGGGUCUCUGGGCAGUAACUGACGCUGAGGAGCGAAAGCGUGGGGAGCGAACAGG